This 166-nucleotide ribosomal RNA is filed under the name uncultured bacterium. Its description in RNAcentral is "partial 16S rRNA". It matches the Rfam family "Bacterial small subunit ribosomal RNA", at positions 355 to 511 of the family's 1533-position model. The record is from RNAcentral.
UAGGGAAUCUUCGGCAAUGGGGGCGAACCCUGACCGAGCAACGCCGCGUGAGUGAAGAAGGUUUUCGGAUCGUAAAGCUCUGUUGUAAGAGAAGAACGUGUGUGAGAGUGGAAAGUUCACACAGUGACGGUAACUUACCAGAAAGGGACGGCUAACUACGUACCAG